Molecule: telomerase RNA, 1474 nt
Filed under: Trichoderma harzianum
Lineage: Eukaryota; Fungi; Ascomycota; Sordariomycetes; Hypocreales; Hypocreaceae
Description: Hypocrea lixii Ascomycota telomerase RNA
Rfam family: Ascomycota telomerase RNA
Source: Rfam by way of RNAcentral
CUGCACGUCGCCUCCCCCACAGUUUCCCGAUUCUCGUUUUCCUUGCGUUUCCGCAAGGAAUGUCUAUCGUAGACCUCUUUUCCAAGGCUUGGUUCACCCGCAAUAUGCAGCUUCCGAGCCUGCUCCAGGACCUCGUCGAAUGCUGCAGUUGGAUCCAUUGCGGUCGGUCUCUGUCUGGCACCCGGACAGCCAAGUCUAGCUGAGAGACACGAGUUUCGGAACUUAACCCUAAGCAUACAUCUGGUUCAGUUUGCGCUCAGUCGUCCAAUCUCUUUUUUAAAUCGCGUUCUUUGUCGAUGGACUAGGAGAGAAGACAUCCAGUCACUCAUCAGUGCGCAAGAGGAAGGAUGCCAUGGGUCGUUAUGGUAAGAGCCUCUGUGAGGACGCUCGUCAGCCCUCUCCGCUGGAAUUCGCACUAUGGUCGAGAAUAGGCUGUUCUUGUGAUGCAGUUGGCAUUAUAGGCAGAGAGAUUGGCCUUGUCUGUUGGGAUCUGCAGCGGUGGCUUCAUUGCCCUGGCGCAAGGUCUAUGGCAUGGGGGCUUGAGCACAGAAAGGGCCUCAAACUGUCAAAGAUCGCAUUUCGGAAUCUACACCCUGUCCGUAUGGCACCUUGCCGGAAGCCUGCUUCAUAGCAGUGUCGCGAGGGCCAUCUGGAAUCACACAGAAAUGCAACGGUUCUUGACCAACCCAACGCCGUUCUGCAAUGCUCUCGGAUGCUCCUUAUAUGCCCGCCUGCUUUCAGGAUACACACCAACACGACCACCAACGUCAUGAUCUCUAUCUAUUGGCCGGUUGCUCCUUGGACCACACCACAGCACCCGCUAACUGUGUGUGAUGCUGCGGCAUCUAGUCUGACCAAGCGCAUUAACCUUCGGUCGUUGGCUCUGUCCCUCGAUCUUGCAAGGACGCCAGUUCCUGGCUGGGCUACCCAGCAACUUCCUCGGUAGAUUUCGUCAAGGAAUUGCUGAGAUGAUAACGCGGCUUUUACGGAUGUGUUUUGUGCGCGUGUUGAUGCCCUCCUGACCUGGAUGGUUUUGGAGAGGAAACAAAAACAAAUCUUCGUUGGCAGUGCAAGACAAACAGAAGGAGGCUCCCCUAACUACAUCUGGAAUAUCCAGGCUACAAUACGCUACUCGGACUUUGGAUUCGGCGAACUUGAAGAAGGCAGCAAAUCCAUUAGAGGAUUGGCUCCGGGCAUCGAUCCAUUUCGGAUACCGCGAAUACGACUCGGUGUCGAGUUUGAGCUUGAUUGAACAAGGACCCAUCUUGAGUUGGAGUCAAAGUUUAGCACUUGUCUUGUUCCCUGCUCAACUCGCUUCUUCGAGUCCAAUUCGCCGGCUGCCCCCAUUUGACUUGUUCAUUGACACGACGUACUUUGUACGGAUUGGAUUAUAAGGACACACCAUAGAUUUGGAAGGUAGUCCUGGUUGUCUUUCUCCCAGCAAUGGUCGGAGGACAACCCCCCGCUGGUGAGG